ACUCCUACGGGAGGCAGCAGUGGGGAAUCUUAGACAAUGGGGGCAACCCUGAUCUAGCCAUGCCGCGUGAGUGAUGAAGGCCUUAGGGUCGUAAAGCUCUUUCGCCAGGGAUGAUAAUGACAGUACCUGGUAAAGAAACCCCGGCUAACUCCGUGCCAGCAGCCGCGGUAAUACGGAGGGGUUAGCGUUGUUCGGAAUUACUGGGCGUAAAGCGCGCGUAGGCGGAUCAGAAAGUUGGGGGUGAAAUCCCGGGGCUCAACCCCGGAACUGCCUCCAAAACUCCUGAUCUAGAGUUCGAGAGAGGUGAGUGGAAUUCCGAGUGUAGAGGUGAAAUUCGUAGAUAUUCGGAGGAACACCAGUGGCGAAGGCGGCUCACUGGCUCGAUACUGACGCUGAGGUGCGAAAGUGUGGGGAGCAAACAGGAUUAGAUACCCUGGUAGCGACUGA
Molecule: ribosomal RNA, 447 nt
Filed under: uncultured bacterium
Lineage: Bacteria
Description: bacterial SSU rRNA
Rfam family: Bacterial small subunit ribosomal RNA
Source: RNAcentral